GUGAACCUGCGGAGGGAUCAUUACCGAGUUCAUGCCCUGACGGGUAGACCUCCCACCCUAUGUUAUAUUACCUUUGUUGCUUUGGCGGGCCGCCCGGCUUCGGCCAGGCUACCGGCUCCAGCUGGUAAGCGCUCGCCAGAGGACCCCCAACUCUGAAUAUCAGUGUCGUCCGAGUACUAUAAAAUAGUUAAAACUUUCAACAACGGAUCUCUUGGUUCUGGCAUCGAUGAAGAACGCAGCGAAAUGCGAUAAGUAAUGUGAAUUGCAGAAUUCAGUGAAUCAUCGAAUCUUUGAACGCACAUUGCGCCCCUUGGUAUUCCGAGGGGCAUGCCUGUUCGAGCGUCAUUACAACCCUCAAGCACUGCUUGGUAUUGGGCUCCGCUGGCUCCAGCGGGCCUUAAAAUCAGUGGCGGCGCCGUUUGGGCUCUGAGCGUAGUAAAUAUCCUCGCUAUAGAGACCAGGCGGUUCUUGUCAUCAACCCCCAACUUUCUAAGUUUGACCUCGGAUCAGGUAGGGAUACCCGCUGAACUUAAGCAUAUCAAAA
RNAcentral lists this ribosomal RNA (544 nucleotides) under Helotiales sp. RNAcentral's name for it is "eukaryotic LSU rRNA". The stretch from base 192 to 345 matches the Rfam family "5.8S ribosomal RNA". The record is from RNAcentral. Lineage: Eukaryota; Fungi; Ascomycota; Leotiomycetes; Helotiales.